UGGUCGGCAUCGCGAGCGCGUCUUCUGCCUGUGAAGCAACGACGGAGACGGAUCUGGAGUGAGACAGGGACGAAGCAAAACGUACAGCAACAACAACGCGGGUGCAGAUGAUGUGGUCGCGGAGAGCGUUCCUCAAAAGGUAACGUGCUCGCGCGUCCAAGCGCCGCGUCUUCCACGUCUGAAGGCUGAAGAACCGCCGCCAGCCGGAGGCGGACCCGGCUGCCGACGGCGGGUCCCUCGGCCCCUCCGACGCGAAAGAAGGCGCGGUCUGGAAUAAAGGAAGUGGUGGUGCGUUCAGCGCUGUUGGAAAUGUAACAACAACCAGAAGCGUAGGAGACACAUGUUUUUAUUCUUGGGUAUAACGCCCCCAGUGUGGUUCAAAAGAAGACACACAUUUCUAGCGACAUUUAUGGUCAAGGUAUAUGUAGAACCAGCGUGAAUGAAUCAUACGAAAUAGUUUGACAGUUGAGACACUGCCAGGAAUUAGACAAGCCCUGUGUGUUACUUGUUUGUCUAUAGUGGUCAUUUUAAUGUUGGUGAUAAAUACUUUAUAAACAAUAGGGUAGCAUAUAUGUUUCACACGUGUAGUUUGCCCAAGUUGUUUUGCAACUAGUGAAUUUAAUUAUUUUAUUUUUUUCUUAGGGGGUAAUGAACACAAUGACGUUAUAUGGGUAGAAUGUUGGUCUGGGAAGAAGGUUGCCAGUUCGAACCCAGUUGAUCUCACCAGGUGUGUCUUUGAGCAAGACACUUCACACUAGCUCUCAAGCGCCCCACGUGUGGCUGCUUGCUGCUGCGCCUUGCUUUAAUUUCAAGCUAAUGAAGAAAAUACCAUGAUCUAAAGACAGAAAAGUCAUACAAACACAUACCGUCACUUACAGAUGUACGGACGUAGAGAAAUUUACAACGCAUAUGAUCAUUCAACUUAACUUCUUGAACUUUAAUUUAAGGAAGCCGAUAUUUCCCGGGUGCCGUGAAUGGGGCUUUAGUAGCGUAGCGUGAACUGAGUGAGGGCUUUAAAGCGGAAGCACACUGCCUCCUGCCGGUACAUAAACGAAACAACUUCACUCCAGUUUUUUCAAAUAAUGAAUAAUGAAUAGUUUAACGGACAUAUUAUUUAUACACUAACAUAUUGGUAUAUGAAAAAACACAUUUCCUGUGAAGUUUGUAAUGUUUCAGAUUCUGAGCAGCAGUUGUCAGCUGUAUCAAGUUAACAGUGUUUGUUUCGAUUUAGCCUGAUUUAAAGUAUCAUCUCUUCACGUUGACCCGUGGAAAGUAUCAACCCUGCAUCAUACAUACAUAAAUAUCCCCCAAAUAAUCCUCCAUAGUACCACUUCACCAAAGAUUAGUAAUUUUGGAUUUUACCAUUGUGUAACAAAAAGGUGUCUAAUGUCUCAAUUUCAAAUUUGGCAGUUUUGAAACAAGAGUAGCUGAUACAUUGGCUCUAUGCAAGAAGAUUAGAGUCUUUCAAAAGUCUAUAAACUGACAGUAAACAUCAUCUUAGGUUGCAGUCAUGCAUUCAUCUCAACCAAAGUACCAGCUUGUCCUGUGAACACAUGCGCUCCUGUCACAACAAGAGCCAGUUGCCUAAUUUUAAUUGCGCUAAAGAACACACACACCUCUAAAACACAGACAUGGAAAGAAGACAAUGAUUUAGUCACAAACUGUGCUGCUUCUCAAAUACCAUUUUAUUUACUCAAUCCAUGUUAGGAGUACUAUAAUAAUAUUGUUAUUACAUACAAGUUCCUUCUGUACUGAAAUAUGCUUUACAAAAUUAAUCUAAUCAAAUCCAGGACAACAUUAGUUAAGGUGGCCAGUACAAUGGCCUCAUGAAAAGCCAAUAUAAUGGCCCACUGUGGUCUAGAGUUAGGGUAGUAACUAAGAGAUGACAAAAGCAUGUGGAAGAAAAUGUCCAGUACAAAUAUUAUUUACAUUGAGAAACCUAAAGAAGUUAUUACCUAGUUUAUAAGACCAUAGUUGUGGAAAAGUUAGCUUCCAUAACACCAGAGCACAUUAAGCUUAUUUUCAUCCAUUCAACACAAGGUUUUACAGUAG
Molecule: long non-coding RNA, 2052 nt
Organism: Betta splendens (Siamese fighting fish)
Lineage: Eukaryota; Metazoa; Chordata; Actinopteri; Anabantiformes; Osphronemidae
Exons: 3
Source: RefSeq, a predicted model, not a curated record